GACGAAGGAUGCAAGCGUUAUCCGGAUUCAUUGGGUUUAAAGGGAGCGUAGGCGGCCUUGUAAGUCAGUGGUGAAAUCUCUGGGCUUAACCCAGAAAUUGCCAUUGAUACUGCAGGGCUUGAGUACAGUUGCCGUUGGCGGAAUAUGACAUGUAGUGGUGAAAUACAUAGAGAUGUCAUAGAACACCGAUUGCGAAGGCAGCUAACGAAACUGUAACUGACGCUGAGGCUCGAAAAGUGUGGGGAUCAAACAGG
RNAcentral lists this ribosomal RNA (254 nucleotides) under uncultured bacterium. Its description in RNAcentral is "partial 16S ribosomal RNA". It matches the Rfam family "Bacterial small subunit ribosomal RNA", at positions 524 to 776 of the family's 1533-position model. The record is from RNAcentral.